Molecule: non-coding RNA, 370 nt
Organism: Nylanderia fulva
Lineage: Eukaryota; Metazoa; Arthropoda; Insecta; Hymenoptera; Formicidae
Source: RefSeq, a predicted model, not a curated record
GAAAAAACUUGGCUAUUAUUAUAAUAGCUUAUUCACGUUGAAUUGAGGAAUAAUCCUCGUGCCACGUGUCUACAUAACCUUUAUUUUAACCGCGGAAUAUUGGAUUUUUCCCGGUUUAAUACCACGAUUAGUGAGAAAGAGGAUAAAUAUAAAAAGUCUCUGCUCAUCAAUAUCAGCGAUAGUUAUAUAGAAAAUCGAGGAAAAUAACACAUGUUGCGAAUGAUUUGGAAAUCGUGGCCGAGGAUGAAAUCAAUGAAGUCGAUAAUGAAAACCAAGUUAAUACUGUGGCUAAUAACGCAGCUGAUAAAAAUAUUAAUGAGAAAAUAGUUGAUGAAAAUCUUCUAAAUAGUGAUGAAAAAAAUCUAAGGUA